RNAcentral lists this ribosomal RNA (1433 nucleotides) under uncultured Nitrosomonas sp. RNAcentral describes it as "bacterial SSU rRNA". It matches the Rfam family "Bacterial small subunit ribosomal RNA". Lineage: Bacteria; Pseudomonadati; Pseudomonadota; Betaproteobacteria; Nitrosomonadales; Nitrosomonadaceae. The record is from RNAcentral.
GAUCGAUACGGCAGCGCAGCUUCGAUCUGCCGGCGAGUGGCGAACGUGGUGAGUAAUACAUCGGAACGUGUCCUUAAGUGGUAAUAACGCAUCGAAAGAUGUGCUAAUACCGUCGAUCUCUGAGGAGAAAAGCAGAUCGCAAGACCUUGCGCUAAAGGAGCGGCCGUUGUCUGAUUAGCUAGUUGGUGGGGUAAAGGCUUACCAAGGCAACGAUCAGUAGUUGGUCUGAGAGGACGGCCAACCACACUGGGACUGAGACACGGCCCAGACUCCUACGGGAGGCAGCAGUGGGGAAUUAUUGGACAAUGGGCGAUAAGCCUGAUCCAGCCAUGCCGCGUGAGUGAAGAAGGCCUAUCGGGUUGUAAAGCUCUGUUUAGUCGGAAAGACAAAGAGUUGCAAUGAAUAAUUGUGAUUUAUGACGGUACCGACAGAAAAAGCACCGGCUAACUACGUGCCAGCAGCCGCGGUAAAUACGUAGGGUGCGAGCGUUAAUCGGAAUUACUGGGCGUAAAUGGCGUGCGCAGGCGGUCUUGCAAGUCAGAUGUGAAAGCCGCCGGGCUUACACCUGGGAAUUGCGUAUUGAAACUACAACGGCUAGAUGUGCAGCAGAGGGGAGUGGAAUUCCAUGUGUAGCAGUGAAAUGCGUAGAGAUGUGGAAGCAACUACCGAUGGCGAAGGCAGCUCCCUCGGGUUGACACUGACGCUCAUGCAACGAAAGCGUGGCCGGAGCAAACAGGAUAUAGAUACCCUGGUAGUCCAACGCCCUAAACGAUGUCAACUAGUCUGUCGGAUCUAAUUAAGGAUUUGGUAACGUAGCUAAGCGCGUGAAGUUGACCUGCCUGGGGAGUACGGUCGCAAGAUUAAGAACUCACAAUGGAAUUGAACGGCGGUACUCCGCGACAAGCGGUGGAUUAUGUGGAUUAAGUUCGAUGCAACGCGAAUAAACCUUACCUACCACUUGACAUGCUUGGUAAUCUAAUGGAGACAUAAGAGUAACCGCGAAAGGCGAGCCAAGACACUAGGCUGCUGCAUGGCUGUCGUCAGCUCGUGUCGUGAGAUGUUCGGGCUUAAGUCCCGCAACGAGCGCAACGUCACUAAUUGCUAUCAUUGCAAUGAGCACUUCUGUGAGACUGCCGGUGACAAACCGGAGGAAGGGAUGACGUCAAGUCCUCAUGGCCCUUAUGGGUAGGGCUUCACACGUAAUACAAUGGCGUGAGCAGAGGGUUGCCAGCCCGCGAGGCGGGAGCCAAUCUCAGAUAAGCACGUCGUAGUCCGGAUCGGAGUCUGCAACUCGACUCCGUGAAGUCGGAAUCGCUAGUAAUCGCGGAUCAGCAUGCCGCGGUGAAUACGUUCCUCGGGUCUUGUACACACCGCCCGUCACACCAUGGGAGUGGUUUUCACCAGACAGCAGGUAGCUUGAACCGUAAGGAUAU